AUCUAGUGCACAUCAAUUUUAAAUAGGUUAAACAUUAUACGGAGGAUCCAAAAAUUUCCAACGUGGUUCUUGCAGACCACGAUUAGGUAGCGGGGGACUAAUAAAUGUUACUUUGUUUCAAAAUACCAAAAAAUUUUCGAAAUUGUUUCCAAAUACUGUGAAGUUAAAAACAGGGCUUCAAAUAUUAUGAGUAGAGUAAAUUUUGUUUUAUUAAUGAGCGAUUAAUACUUGUGUAAGAUCGGAUCAUCCUUCAUUGAGCCUCAGUCACUUAAAGUUAAAUGUCCAGUGACGGCUACCUGAAACGGCUCUACGUAGUAAACAAAUAUGAAUGCCUUGUUUCACUAAAAAGAACAUUGCUCAGAUAUUUCUCUGGACUACCAAUUUCUGUACUUCAUGUGAUGCCUGUGUUGCAGCCCUCCCAAGAACCUCCCUUGUAGGUGUUCUAUGAUAAGAUUUCAAAGAUAAAGAGGAAAUGGUUCUAAUGAUAGAGAUUGUCCAUGUUGGUUUGUCUCAAUCUUUUGGAAAACAGUGUUGGAGAAAAUAUCAGCAACAAAUGAAGACUCUGAUCUAAUUUAUUACUAUGUGACUUGAAAGUUAUUUGAUUUUAUGGUAGUAUUUACACAUGUGUUGAACUUUCCAUACAUCGUUGAAAAAGAUCAUAUGAUGACAAUAAACAAAAAUACAUAUAUGAACUUUCCACAAGUUUCCAAUGAAGAACAUUUGGGAUCUUGGUAAAGGAUAUUAUAAUUAGAUUUUUUACUUAAUUUAUAUGUGUUCUUGUGCAGUGCAUUAAAUGCACAAAAUGUUUUUAAAUUAGUCUUUUGAAACCAGUGCUGAGAACACAGGUCUCAGAUAUCCUCUUACUGCAGUUAUAUUGUUAAGAUUGAAGUUUAUUUUAAAAAAAAUACCUUUAUUAUAUCUGUAAAGAAACUUUUAAAAAAAUUAGUCAAACUUGGAUAUGUGGGUUAACAUGUUAAAAGAAAUAUAAUAUU
Saccostrea cuccullata (small rock oyster) is the source of this 992-nucleotide long non-coding RNA. RefSeq lists it as uncharacterized. The record is from RefSeq and is a predicted model, not a curated record. Lineage: Eukaryota; Metazoa; Mollusca; Bivalvia; Ostreida; Ostreidae. The transcript is spliced from 3 exons.